GCCCCUGUAGCUCAGUGGAAAGAGCGUCCGGCUACGAACCGGAAGGUCGCAGGUUCGACUCCUGCCAGGGGUA
This 73-nucleotide transfer RNA is filed under the name Couchioplanes caeruleus subsp. caeruleus. It matches the Rfam family "tRNA". From Rfam's summary of the family: Transfer RNA (tRNA) molecules are approximately 80 nucleotides in length. Their secondary structure includes four short double-helical elements and three loops (D, anti-codon, and T loops). The record is from Rfam by way of RNAcentral. RNAcentral also lists the same sequence under 2 other names. Lineage: Bacteria; Bacillati; Actinomycetota; Actinomycetes; Micromonosporales; Micromonosporaceae.